Molecule: ribosomal RNA, 301 nt
Filed under: uncultured bacterium
Lineage: Bacteria
Description: partial 16S ribosomal RNA
Rfam family: Bacterial small subunit ribosomal RNA
Source: RNAcentral
CAGUAGCCGCGGUAAUACGAAGGGUGCAAGCGUUAAUCGGAAUUACUGGGCGUAAAGCGCGCGUAGGUGGUUCAUUAAGUUGGAUGUGAAAGCCCUGGGCUCAACCUGGGAACUGCAUCCAAAACUGGUGAGCUAGAGUACGGUAGAGGGUAGUGGAAUUUCCUGUGUAGCGGUGAAAUGCGUAGAUAUAGGAAGGAACACCAGUGGCGAAGGCGACUACCUGGACUGAUACUGACACUGAGGUGCGAAAGCGUGGGGAGCAAACAGGAUAAGAGACCCCGGUAGUCCCUGUCUCUUAUAC